AAAUUGAAGAGUUUGAUCAUGGCUCAGAUUGAACGCUGGCGGCAGGCCUAACACAUGCAAGUCGAACGGUAACAGGAAACAGCUUGCUGUUUCGCUGACGAGUGGCGGACGGGUGAGUAAUGUCUGGGAAACUGCCCGAUGGAGGGGGAUAACUACUGGAAACGGUAGCUAAUACCGCAUAACGUCGCAAGACCAAAGAGGGGGACCUUCGGGCCUCUUGCUAUCGGAUGUGCCCAGAUGGG
RNAcentral lists this ribosomal RNA (242 nucleotides) under Shigella flexneri. RNAcentral describes it as "partial 16S ribosomal RNA". It matches the Rfam family "Bacterial small subunit ribosomal RNA", at positions 1 to 239 of the family's 1533-position model. The record is from RNAcentral. Lineage: Bacteria; Pseudomonadati; Pseudomonadota; Gammaproteobacteria; Enterobacterales; Enterobacteriaceae.